Zophobas morio is the source of this 383-nucleotide long non-coding RNA. RefSeq lists it as uncharacterized. The record is from RefSeq and is a predicted model, not a curated record. The transcript has 4 exons. NCBI's taxonomy places the organism in Eukaryota, Metazoa, Arthropoda, Insecta, Coleoptera, Tenebrionidae.
CAGAUACUCUACUAAGGGUAAAAAUCAUUUACGACUUAGUAGAAAAAGAAAAAGGUCUACUGCGAAAAUAAAUACACUUAUACAAUUAAUCAAAAAAAGGAAAGAAGAUUCAAACACCGAGAAAAAUACCAACCAAUCUACAAGUUCUCUGACCUCAGAAGGUAACAACAAUGUACCUACCUCGCACGCAGAAGGGGAAAGUUCAGUAACAGAAGAUACUACAUAUGAAACAGGGAAUGAAAAUCGCAGGAAUCAAAGACAACUUACUUUAUCUUCAAAGAGAAAAAAACGAGUAGUGAACAUUGGACUCCUGAAUUGGAAUAUUAAAAGGUGCACACUUAAUUUUAACUACAUAUUAUCUACUCGUAUUUACACAGAAUAUU